UACGUAGGGCGCAAGCGUUGUCCGGAAUUAUUGGGCGUAAAGAGCUCGUAGGCGGCUUGUCACGUCGGGUGUGAAAGCCCGGGGCUUAACCCCGGGUCUGCAUUCGAUACGGGCUAGCUAGAGUGUGGUAGGGGAGAUCGGAAUUCCUGGUGUAGCGGUGAAAUGCGCAGAUAUCAGGAGGAACACCGGUGGCGAAGGCGGAUCUCUGGGCCGUAACUGACGCUGAGGAGCGAAAGCGUGGGGAGCGAACAGG
This 253-nucleotide ribosomal RNA is filed under the name uncultured bacterium. Its description in RNAcentral is "partial 16S ribosomal RNA". It matches the Rfam family "Bacterial small subunit ribosomal RNA", at positions 524 to 776 of the family's 1533-position model. The record is from RNAcentral.